This 67-nucleotide transfer RNA is filed under the name Marmota monax (woodchuck). RNAcentral describes it as "tRNA.Asp". The record is from RNAcentral. Lineage: Eukaryota; Metazoa; Chordata; Mammalia; Rodentia; Sciuridae.
GGAUUGUGGCUCAGUGUUAGAGCGCUCACCUAUCACAGGCAGGACCCGGGUUCAAUCCUCAGCACCA